UACGAAGGGGGCUAGCGUUGCUCGGAAUUACUGGGCGUAAAGGGCGCGUAGGCGGCACUGUUAGUCAGGCGUGAAAGUCCUGGGCUCAACCUGGGAACUGCGCUUGAUACGGCAGAGCUGGAGGAUGGAAGAGGGUCGCGGAAUUCCCAGUGUAGAGGUGAAAUUCGUAGAUAUUGGGAAGAACACCGGUUGCGAAGGCGGCGACCUGGUCCAUUACUGACGCUGAGGCGCGACAGCGUGGGGAGCAAACAGG
RNAcentral lists this ribosomal RNA (253 nucleotides) under uncultured bacterium. Its description in RNAcentral is "partial 16S ribosomal RNA". It matches the Rfam family "Bacterial small subunit ribosomal RNA", at positions 524 to 776 of the family's 1533-position model. The record is from RNAcentral.